GUGCCGAGGUUUCCGUCACCUCCCCCAGCAAGAACCUGGUGCUCAAGGAUGCGGCCACGCAGAUGUUGGUGUCCAUCCACCUGAACCCGGGGGUGGCGGUGGCGGGGGUCCCGUGGUGGGUGGUCCCGCUGGCGGUGCUGCUCGGGAUCCUCCUCCUGGCCCUGCUGGUCCUCGGGCUCUGGAAGGUGGGGUUUUUCCGCCGUGCCCGCCGUGCCCCCGCGGCCGUGCGCAGUACACGCCGUGCGGAAUCCACGCGGGACGCAGCGGCGGCACCUCCUGUAGGCAAGGCCGGGCAACGAUCGCAAGAGGCCAGGAAUGGGCCGCCAGCCCCGCCGAGCCCCGGACGGACGCGGGACCCCCAGCUCCGCAUAGACCCCCCCACUGUGAAAUGGGGGGUGGGCACGGGGGGCACAGACACGGGGUAUGGGGUGUGGAACAUGGGAUAUGGGAUACAGAUAUGGGAUACAGGACAUGGGUAUAGGAUAUGGGAUAUGGGACAUGGACAUGAGAUAUGGGAUAUGGGACAUGGACACAGACAUGGGAUAAGGGACAUGGACACAGGAUAUGAAACACGGAAUAUGGACAUGGAACAUGGAUACUGGAUAUGGGACAUAGGACAUGGACAUGGGAUACGGGACAUGGAACUCGGGAUAUGGAACAUGGGACAUGAAACAUGGGACACAAACAGGGGACACAGGACAUGGAACACGGGAUUGUCCGCCCUGGCCGUGCUCUGGGGAUGGCAGCAGGAACAGGGGACGUGGACAUGGACACAGAGCCUGGGACAUGGAACCUGGGACAUGGGAUUUCUCGCCCUGGCUGUGCCCUGGGAAGGUCCCAGUGAGGCACCGGCUGUGCUGGAGCACCUGGGAAUGUUUGUCCUGGGAUGGGGCCAUCGGGCCCAUGGGGCACUUUGGCCCCACAGGGUCAGUUUGGUUCCAGGGGUCACUUCAGCCCCACAUGAAGGGUUUGGCCCCACACGGGGUCUCGACUGCCUGGGCUCAGCUCGGCCCCACAGCGACGUUCACCCUAAUAAAAGGUGCUGUCCCCCCACCGGGCCUGAGUCCUUCACAGCCUGGGGACAGUCAUGGGGUAGGGGUGGGGGU
This 1106-nucleotide long non-coding RNA is filed under the name Manacus vitellinus (golden-collared manakin). RNAcentral's name for it is "lncRNA (ENSMVIG00005003582.1)". Lineage: Eukaryota; Metazoa; Chordata; Aves; Passeriformes; Pipridae. The record is from RNAcentral.